AGCGAACGCUGGCGGCAGGCCUAACACAUGCAAGUCGAACGAACCUUUCGGGGUUAGUGGCGGACGGGUGAGUAACACGUGGGAACGUGCCUUUAGGUUCGGAAUAACUCAGGGAAACUUGUGCUAAUACCGAAUGUGCCCUUCGGGGGAAAGAUUAAUCGCCUUUAGAGCGGCCCGCGUCUGAUUAGCUAGUUGGUUGAGGUAAUGGCUCACCAAGGCGACGAUCAGUAGCUGGUCUGAGAGGAUGAUCAGCCACAUUGGGACUGAGACACGGCCCAAACUCCUACGAGAGGCAGCAGUGGGGAAUCUUGCGCAAUGGGCGAAAGCCUGACGCAGCCAUGCCGCGUGAAUGAUGAAGGUCUUAGGAUUGUAAAAUUCUUUCACCGGGGACGAUAAUGACGGUACCCGGAGAAGAAGCCCCGGCUAACUUCGUG
Molecule: ribosomal RNA, 434 nt
Filed under: uncultured bacterium
Lineage: Bacteria
Description: partial 16S ribosomal RNA
Rfam family: Bacterial small subunit ribosomal RNA
Source: RNAcentral